UACAUAGGGAGCAAGCGUUAUCCGGAAUUAUUGGGUGUAAAGGGUGCGUAGAUGGGUUAGCAAGUUAGUUGUGAAAUCCCUCGGCUUAACUGAGGAACUGCAACUAAAACUACAAAUCUUGAGUGCAGGAGAGGUAAGUGGAAUUCCUAGUGUAGCGGUGAAAUGCGUAGAUAUUAGGAGGAACACCAGUGGCGAAGGCGACUUACUGGACUGUAACUGACAUUGAAGCACGAAAGUGUGGGGAGCAAACAGG
RNAcentral lists this ribosomal RNA (253 nucleotides) under uncultured bacterium. RNAcentral describes it as "partial 16S ribosomal RNA". It matches the Rfam family "Bacterial small subunit ribosomal RNA", at positions 524 to 776 of the family's 1533-position model. The record is from RNAcentral.